Long non-coding RNA from Monodelphis domestica (gray short-tailed opossum), 588 nucleotides. RefSeq lists it as uncharacterized. The record is from RefSeq and is a predicted model, not a curated record. Lineage: Eukaryota; Metazoa; Chordata; Mammalia; Didelphimorphia; Didelphidae.
AUGUUUUUUUUUUCAAUUUGCCUAUCUCUAAUCCUCUGGGGGUUUCACUGUGGUUUUUCAAACAUUAUUGAAAGUGUUUCACCAAUAAUUUAUACUAAUAUUUUCUUUCCCUGGGAUAUAGAAUUCAAUGGCACACAACUAGCUGCUUGCUUACCAUCUCCUAGAAAAUGUCAGGAUCCCCUACUCUAUAGAGACUCAGGAUGGUUUGGAAUCCCCGAAGAGCUCCUCCAGCCCUUUAACCUCAGUGACUCAAGAGCACAGAGGAAAGAGAACAAAAAAGAAAAUCUUAAACUUAUCAACAUUUCAAAGCUGGCAGUUAAAGGUGACUGAAUCAAACAGUGAUAUUUGGCCUAUUGACCAAGCUCCUCACCAAAACUAAUAGCAGAAAUUCCAUUCUCCAAAAGGUCAAGAUCAAAAUCCAUCUCCUGCAUGAAGCCGUCCUGGGUUCCUCCGAACAGGAAUGAUCUUUUUCUCCAUUGAACGACUUUAAAGAUCCUCUAUGCCACUCAUCACAAAGUUCCUUAGAGUAUAGUAAUAAAUUGCUUAUGUUGUUGAAUUGCACUUUUCUUUUCUUUUUUAAUCAAUAUU